Molecule: ribosomal RNA, 740 nt
Filed under: uncultured bacterium
Lineage: Bacteria
Description: bacterial SSU rRNA
Rfam family: Bacterial small subunit ribosomal RNA
Source: RNAcentral
AGAGUUUGAUCCUGGCUCAGAGCGAACGCUGGCGGCAGGCCUAAUACAUGCAAGUCGAACGCACCUUCGGGUGAGUGGCGGACGGGUGAGUAACGCGUGGGAACGUGCCCUUUGGUUCGGAACAACACAGGGAAACUUGUGCUAAUACCGAAUGUGCCCUUCGGGGGAAAGAUUUAUUGCCAUUGGAGCGGCCCGCGUUGGAUUAGGUAGUUGGUGAGGUAAAGGCUCACCAAGCCUACGAUCCAUAGCUGGUCUGAGAGGAUGAUCAGCCACACUGGGACUGAGACACGGCCCAGACUCCUACGGGAGGCAGCAGUAGGGAAUCUUGCGCAAUGGGCGAAAGCCUGACGCAGCCAUGCCGCGUGAAUGAUGAAGGUCUUAGGAUUGUAAAAUUCUUUCACCGGGGAAGAUAAUGACGGUACCCGGAGAAGAAGCCCCGGCUAACUUCGUGCCAGCAGCCGCGGUAAUACGAAGGGGGCUAGCGUUGCUCGGAAUUACUGGGCGUAAAGGGCGCGUAGGCGGAUAUUUAAGUUAGAGGUGAAAGCCCAGGGCUCAACCCUGGAACAGCCUUUAAUACUGGAUAUCUUGAGUUCGGGAGAGGUGAGUGGAAUGCCGAGUGUAGAGGUGAAAUUCGUAGAUAUUCGGCGGAACACCAGUGGCGAAGGCGACUCACUGGCCCGAUACUGACGCUGAGGCGCGAAAGCGUGGGGAGCAAACAGGAUUAGAUACCCUAGUAGUCC